AGUGAACGCUGGCGGUAGGCCUAACACAUGCAAGUCGAACGGCAGCACAGUAAGAGCUUGCUCUUACGGGUGGCGAGUGGCGGACGGGUGAGGAAUACAUCGGAAUCUACUUUUUCGUGGGGGAUAACGUAGGGAAACUUACGCUAAUACCGCAUACUACCUACGGGUGAAAGCAGGGGAUCUUCGGACCUUGCGCGAUUGAAUGAGCCGAUUUCGGAUUAGCUAGUUGGCGGGGUAAAGGCCCACCAAGGCGACGAUCCGUAGCUGGUCUGAGAGGAUGAUCGGCCACACUGGAACUGAGGCACGUUCCAGACUCCUACGGGAGGCAGCAGUGGGGAAUAUUGGACAAUGGGCGCAAGCCUGAUCCAGCCAUACCGCGUGGGUGAAGAAGGCCUUCGGGUUGUAAAGCCCUUUUGUUGGGAAAGAAAAGCAGCAGGUUAAUACCCCGCUGUUCUGACGGUACCCAAAGAAUAAGCACCGGCUAACUUCGUG
Molecule: ribosomal RNA, 492 nt
Filed under: uncultured bacterium
Lineage: Bacteria
Description: partial 16S ribosomal RNA
Rfam family: Bacterial small subunit ribosomal RNA
Source: RNAcentral